Molecule: long non-coding RNA, 2877 nt
Organism: Ipomoea triloba (trilobed morning glory)
Lineage: Eukaryota; Viridiplantae; Streptophyta; Magnoliopsida; Solanales; Convolvulaceae
Exons: 2
Source: RefSeq, a predicted model, not a curated record
UCAAACAAGAAGAUGAAGAUAACCCAUAGGCGAACGGCAUCAAUUUAUUGCACUUCAUCCUUAUCUAACAUUUGUUUGCCUGCCAGGAGGAUGAACAAUGCAAGAUGAAAACUCCGGCCUGCUGUGUCCACUUCAAACAAGAUGUCUUCAGCUUCAGUAGCAAAAUGGGUUCAGUCAAGCCAUUGGCCUAGUUGAAUCUUAUCCUCCAGGACAGCACGUCAUUGUGUACGUUUUCCAAACACAGUAAAGAUUACAUUCAAACAAGUCUGGAAAGCCAUCAGGGAAGUACUCCAUCCCCCCCUUGCUACCCCCUCUUAAAUGAUUAGUGGCCAUAAUUUGGAAUGCUAGAGAGAUUUCUACUAAAGGAUCCCUCAGUGACAAAUGCUUCAUUAAGAAGUAUUACCCUCUAAUUAUAGGCUGGUAUCCUUGAACCUUUUAAAGAUAUUUCUGACUUGCAGUACAAAAAAGAAUCCCAUAUGUUACAUGAUCUCUUCUUCAUAUAGAUAGAUAUAGGAUCUAUGGGGCUAUAGGAUAGAUCUAUAUAUGUUUUGUGGAUUAUUAUACAGAAAAAGUUUGGAGGACUGCCAGACAACAUGCAGAAGAGGUCGGCUAUCCUGCAGUGUGUCAAUGCUUGUGGAUUAUUUCAUAUUCGUUUCUAUGGUAAUUCUAUGAUCAGGUUGAAUAGCGGGUAUGGUUCUUAUGCCAUUUGGAAAAGGCUUGACGGAAUGCUUGUUAACCAUGCUUGUGCAAUUUUUCAUAUUGAUGUUCAUAAUUAGGCUACAAAGUACUACUUCUGGCCAUUCUUUGAUGCACAUAACUUGUGCUAGAUCAACUGGGAGUUCUGCUAAUCCAUUUCAGUUACGUUUAUAAUUGCUUGGAAUGACUACAAAGGCUUUCUGGAUUCGGUCGAGAAGGUAUGAAGCAAAAAGGUUCAAGGAAAUAAAAUGUUUUGUCUUCUUAUACAAACAGAAAAUUUUGUGGAAUGUAUUGAGUGAAUGGAAUAGAACAGUUAUGGGGAAACAGGAGGAGCUGGAAAUUGGAAUGUAGGGUCCAAGCACUUGAGAUCAAGUUAGAGGAAGAUCCAAAAAGGAAGUCAUGCUGAACUAAGGUAAAUGCCCUUUACCAAAGGCAACCCCAGAUUGAAGAGGAUUAUUCGAGGCAAAUGGUACAGCCUAAAUAGAAACACAAAGUUCUUCCAUUCCAUUGUGAAGGACAAAAGAAUGCGAAUGUGUAUUCAUAAAAUAAUCAAGUUUUCGGGGGAUGAAGAUGUUACUUUGAAGCAUAUCAUUGAGUUUCUUGGUCAUUUCUUACUAAUGUUCUAAGGAGAAUGGAUUUUAAAGAAGCUUGGAUUUAUCAAGAUUUUGGAAUAUAGAGCUGUUGGUAUUCAGUCAUCAUUAGUGGUUUCAGAGAAGGUUUGUUUCCAUGCUUCAAGGGGUUUAUGGCAAGGGAAUAUGUAUCCCCUUAAUUGUCUCUUUUAUUCUCUCAGAAGAAGAAUUCCUGUCAAGACAAAUGAAGAGAAUAGAAGUACAUGCUUUACACAUCCCAAAGGCAGGUAUACAAGUUUUUUUCUUGAUGUACCCACAGACUGAAAGAAGACUCAUUAUGAGAAUUACCAAUAACUAUCAAAAAACAUUUCCUUUUUAAUAUCUUGGAUAUCCUGGUCCAUAUACAGAGAUAGAAACAACAUCUCUUUUUCUCUGUCAUCACCAUUCAUCUAGAUGACUAUGGCUAAAUGCCACGGGUGGCAUGGCAAGUUAUUAUCCGUAACUAUUGAACAGAAGAUAAAAAUAUCAGUAAAAACCUUAGCUCUUGGUUGGACUGACUUCUGGUGCUUGAUGAUCAAAAUACAUAUGGGAGUGACUUAUUUAAAGCGCAAACGAGGCUAAGACAAGCUAUAAGUUACUGAGAAAAUUAUGGAAGGCAAAACCAUGUGCACUGGAGUUGUAUGGGGCCGAUUAGUUUCAAUCAGAAAUAUAUGGAGACAUAAGAAUGAGGAAUCACUUGUGUAUGUUUCUCAUUCAUAGGAUUGAUUCAAACAAAAAAGGCUGAGAUAUUGUGCAGGUGAAUGUGACCUCUCAUUUGGAAGGCUAGUUAAGCCAUCUUAUCUAUUCAAUAUCAUUGUAGCUUGUGGGGACUGUGUUAUUAGAAAAGCCUUUAUCUACAGACUUUUUUAAAGAAAUUCUUGAUGAUUUCUCAAAGACAAAACCAUGUGAUAAUGUUGUCUUAUCGCUAGCUGGCUACCCUCCCUUAGCCACUCAAUCCACUUCACAAAGGAUCUAUAUAAACACAAUUGAGUUAGUAUUCACCCCACUCAAAUAUUUCCUUCACAGCUACCUUAGUUUCUGCAUUCUAAAAUUGUUUCUAUAGCAUCUUUGAUUAACACUCCCUCUGCUUUAAGAAGAAACAUCCCAGAAUGGCAAUCAGUAUGACUCGCAUCCUCCGUGCUAAGCAGGGCCUCAGAAGGUCUUCUUCAAGAACAAACAGAGAAAGUGAGGUUCCUAAGGGGCACUUUGCAGUUUAUGUGGGCGAAAGAGAAAAGAAGCGCUUUGUUAUUCCGAUAUCAUGCUUGAAGUGCCCUUCAUUUCAAGGCUUGCUAAGUCAAGCUGAGGAAGAAUUCGGAUUUGAUCAUCUAAUGGGUGGAAUCACUGUACUUUUCUAAUGGGUGGAAUCACUGUACUUUUCUCGACAUCAUUUCUUGUUCAAGUAGAUAUUGAGUGACUACUAACAGAGUAACAGAUUAGUUUAAUAGAGAAAAAUUUUGGACAAAUGAGCAUUCUUGUACAGUUACUUUUUUCCUUUUUCAGUACAGUUGUGUUCGGGAUCAGAUUGGAAAAAUAUAAAUCUUGAGAAAAUACAAACAGAUUAUGUUUUACACAA